GCACAGUCAGCUUGAUGUUGAGGAGAAGGGCUGUGCAGCAGAGAGGCGCUUUAGUUUUUCAUUCUCCUGCAGUGGAAGAACAUUGCUGCUCUGCUGUCUCUUUGACUUUAACAACUCCAAAGACAUGUUGCUUCACCUCUUUUUACUUUGCUCUCACUUUAUAGCCCUGAGUUCCAUGAACAGCAUAAAGCCAGAAAGGACUGAAGAACAUGUUGCAGAGGGAAGAAACAUCAACCUGGCCUGUAAAUACGAGGGUGUUAUCUACAAUAUCCAGUGGUACCGACAAUACCAGAGAUCCAGACCAGAGUUCCUGCUCUACAGCACAGAGGGAGGAUCGAUCCAUCCAACUGGUUCUGGUUUCUCAGCUCACAUCAACAAAACAGAGAAACGUGUAGAUGUGGAGAUCAUCUCAGCUAAAGUGACUGACUCUGCUGUGUACUACUGUGCUGUGAGGCCCACAGUGACAGGAAACAGCAAAACUCUGCACAAAAACCUCUGCAGCAAACACAACACAAUACUCCACAACGUCCACUAGAGGGAGUCACACACUGUUCAACUUCAAUGGGAUGUGAUGGUCGUGUUGAUUCUUGCCAGUGGUGAUAAAAACAACACAAAAUGAAGCACUAAAGUUAAAACACACAGGGCCAGACUGACUAAGAAAAUGUCUUUGCACAAAUGUGCUGCUGUUUUCAUUGAGUUUGCAGUCGUAAUCUGUGUUUAUUCAGCACCUCAGUUACUAAGGCAGCAACUCAUUAUGCAGUCAGAUCCUGGACUGAGCCUCAGACAACCCUCCAAUUAUGACAAAAUAUCGGACAAAUGUGUCAGAGGAUCAAAAGUGUUGAUAGUUUAUAUCCAAAAGGUCGAAGGUCAACUUCACUGCAGCACAACAAUGUUCUGCAAAAAUACUUUACAUUUGGUCAGAUACUGAAAUGGUGACACUAAUCUUGGCUGUCCACCUUAAAACUGUGCUCAUUGUUUCGGUGAUGGUAGUUGUGGUUCUUU
Molecule: non-coding RNA, 1002 nt
Organism: Chelmon rostratus (copperband butterflyfish)
Lineage: Eukaryota; Metazoa; Chordata; Actinopteri; Chaetodontiformes; Chaetodontidae
Source: the annotation of a RefSeq genome assembly